Molecule: non-coding RNA, 4326 nt
Organism: Lolium perenne
Lineage: Eukaryota; Viridiplantae; Streptophyta; Magnoliopsida; Poales; Poaceae
Source: RefSeq, a predicted model, not a curated record
GCUCGUUCUCUAUAAAUUCCCUACAUCGCUCUGGUCUUCUCCUCAAUUGACGCCCCAUCCUUCCUCAGCCUUCACCACAAGGCACCGUCGCCAUCACCGUAUGAAUGUCAUGAAGUAUCUUCCAUGCAUGGUUCCGGCGAGCAGUCCUGCCGGCGAGACGUGUCGGCGUGGGCUGGACAGUACAGUCGGCCACGGAAGGUUGUUCAUGCGGUGGGAGAUAUGGUGAUUGCUGCAGGGGUGGAAACGAAGAUGCCUGAUGCAGGCAGUCAGCUCUCCGCAGGGCAUGCAAGCAAGGCAGUUGCGAUCAAUGCUUCGGACGCUGCACGCAGAUUUUAGAGCAACACACAAGCAAGCAAUAUUGGUCAGAUGCAGACUGACGCGACUACUUACUUCAGCCACCGAGCAACCAAUCCACGAUGGGUUAAUAAGGGCCAACCUGGGCCAUAUCCGGCCCACUUGGAAAGCAAAAACGUCAUCCACAAUGGUAAAGAAGAAAUGGCCAGGCCAUGUGCUCCAUUGGCACACCGACAUAUCUUGUGCAGCCUGGCUUAUCUAGACGUCUCUCUCUCUCUCUCUCUCUCUCUCUCUCUCUCUCUCUCUUGAGUAUACACGCUAGGUGCUCAGGAAAAUUCCCAGCGUCUGUGAAACCAAGUCAAUGGCUCCAGCAUGCUACGGAUGAUGAUGCCAAUGGAUGUGGCUUCGCCUCCCCCACAUGCCCCGCUUGGCAUCUUGAUCUGUGCUGGACUAUAAUUGGGAGGCCGAUGAUUUCUCCCCUCUCCGCACCAAUACCAUGGUGAGCGACAAGGAGUUAAAGAAUUUAGAAAUGAACCUGAUCGUUACUCUCUCUCGGUUUUGCUGCACAUCAAAUGGAGUUGGUUCAUGCUGAACUUGUCCUUGUUAAUUGUGGAUGCACCUGUUCCUUUUCUUUCCGCGAUGGUGUUGAUGCAGUACAUGAUGGCCUUGCUGUGCCUAUCGAUGGUGGGAGCCUCUGCAUUUCGGUGCAUCCUGAAGAAGAGUCCCAUCUAGACUGAAACACUAAAGCACCAAACCGGCUUGAACGAGCUACAUAUAAUGCAAGUCAUCGACUAGUCGAUCUACACUAUAAGGCUCUAAUAUAGUGCUUUUCGUAUUUUUCUUAAUGAUGCUUUGAUUUUGAAAACCUCUGUUUUCUGCUGUCUGCUGAAAUAAUUUAUUGCAGCCCAAUGCAGCUGGUGUUUGGUUUUGGUUUUCUUGUCAGCACUAGGUGUAUAUAUUCAGUCCAACUCUGUUUUAUUUGGAUGCACAACUAUGCUUAAUUAGACUAAUAGAAAGAUUUUGGUGUUUGGUAAUUAAACCUAACGCUUGAUUUGUACCUAAAUAGUUGAUAUGCCUUACAUAUUUACAGUGUUAGCUCAUGAAGUCUACUCUCCUUUGUUCUCUAAUAUUUGCUCACAAACCAGGGAGCAAAUAUUAAAAGGAAAGUAGACUCGAUGAGUUAUGUUUUCCUUCCAGGACCUUGAAUGAAUCAGAUGUACAUGUUUAUGUCCAGCCAGGAUUCUCUUCAUUAAUAAUUUUAUUUUCCUAUGCAAUUGAAAUGAAGCACUAGUAUUUUGUAAAGUGUGUGUGAAAUGAUGACCUGUAAAGAGAUGGGAGUGUUCUUAUCUACAAUUUCUCUAUUUUUAUUGAGCCCUAUUGGAGGGUCAAAUUCUUCAUUUAGGAUUUAUUUCUUUCCAGAUCAUAUUUUUACUAUCCUGGAAUGACUCUCUGAGGUGACUGACUACUUCUUUCCUCUUUUCAUUGGCUAAUUGAGAAUCUUUUUCGGCUUUGUCUCUCUAGGUUGCAUGAUAAGGUCCCUAUGGUUGAGAAAAUGCUAUCAAGAAAAGGUUGUCGAUUGAUGCCACUGCCUUAGCCUCACCGAUGAGGCUUUGCUUGCAAAUGUUCUUGCUUUGAUCAUAACCUUGUGUUUUUUUUCUUCUGGGUUGCAAUACCAUCCGUGUGUGCCACUUUUUGUCUUUCUUUGAGUUAUUGUUUGUGACUUUGCUUGCUCUUUUUAGUACUCUAGUCGGUUCACAUUAUUCUAAUAUUUUCCUGAUAUGAUUGGCCUCAGAAAUAGUUGUCACAUAUUGAUAGGAACCUGAUUAUUGUGAUUAAGUUCCGUCUUGUUAAUGCAUAGCUAAUUUAUUUGAAGUUGAUUUGAUACUCGGAAAAGAUGGCAAUGAUGAUAAAUUUAAGGCUUGUUUCUCAAAAUAUUCUGAGUUGUUGCCUAAGAGCUUUCACUGCCAGGCUUGAGAGCUAAUGCUGCUUAUUCCUUCCUUGUAUGUGUUAGCAUUUUUUAUUCUCCCUAGUUCGUAUUGUCUGUUCUAGAUAAAAAAAUUGUAGUCUUCAUAGUAUGUUCAAUCGGCCCUUGCAUUGCAAAUGAAGAUGAAAUCACUCAAAACGUUCGCAGUUGUCGCAUCGUGGUUGAAAAGGUAGUCAGAUUUAGUCCCUGCUUGAGUUAUAUGCAUGUAGAACUUCUGACUGAUCUUUACAAGCAAGUAUUAUUUAUCUUUACCAAGUUGCAUAAUGACAUGGUGUUAACUUGUUGCAGGAUUAUCUACUGAAUGCAUAGAAGCUUCGGUUCCUGUUCAUCUACAUUAAUUCUACUUAGAUGACUAUACUCAUGAGGAUAUGUACUGAGUAAUGAGUACGCAUAGAUAGCUUCGGUUCCUGGCCAUCUACAUUCUACUUAGAAGACUAUAACUCACAAGGUCUCGAGUUGAAGGUUGCACUCCCUCUAAGACACAGUCAUUGCGAUGCUUCCAAAAUCAUCCAUGACACCAGCAGCGUCGCAGUCGCCAGCCCCUUGUGCAUCGACUUCGGGGUGUGUUGUCUUGCGGCAUGCCACCAAUCAAAGAGGUUGCAAGAUAAGGUCCUCCGGUAUCUGAGAGCGUGAGGGCGACCAUGCUGGGCAUCCUUUGCUUGGCCAAAACGUGGGGUGGCCACAGAUGCCUCGGUAGAGCGAGGAGGUAUCCAUGCUCAGAAAUUAAGGUCUGCAGAAGCCUUUAUAUAAUGCAUCGUAGCAGGUACUCUGAGAUAUGUUACAAGAGAAACUUAUUUGUUGGGUAUUCUCAGAUUUAUCUUUUGUAUUGUCAGUUCACUUGUGUUUCCUCCUCCAACUAGGACUAGCAUCAUAGCUGAUAAAUUUACUUCAGUUUUUCAAUCAUGGACAUGUACAUUUCACAUUCUGUACCACGUUACGUUUUGGAGGAAGGAAAAGGGGCGGGUGGCUAGAGAUGGUCAUCUCGUCAUGUGACAAGGACUUCUUCCUACUCGCCAUCUCUCUGCAACCAGGACCUCGGGUGCGGUCUCAUCCCUUUCACGACUUCAGGUUGUCAUUGCUCGUUGCUAUUGAUUACAUGUUUUUCCCCAAUGGGUGCUUCCUCCACGAAGACAUGCCUAAGGAGUUGAGGUGCAACAUGAACCACUAGUUGAAGACUGUAAAGCAGAUAGCCUUUUCUUGGGCCUACAUAUUCCAGCAUGUGUCGUUAAGCACAGACACCUAAUUUUUCAGGAAUUGUUAGUUGGAAAUUAAACCACUGCAUUAGCUGAACUAAAACAUUGUCACUAUCACAUGUUUGGACUCCUGUACGCAAGAUGAAAAGGACUUGCAACCCUCGAUUGCUCGAGAUGAUGAUCAAGGUUAGAAGAUGUGGAGACUCAACCAGUGAAUGGUACCCUAGAAGCAUUGCUAAUACCUGCUAGUGCUUUCCCACAGUGUCAUCUAUCACCUACUGUUCACAGCUUUUCCCACAACAUGUAUGCCUUGCUGACAUAUUGAAUAGUGGACCGAUAAGUUCCUCUAAGGUAUCAUUCAAGGAGAGGAGUGGAAUGAGCUUGAGUUAUCCGCUCGUGGCAGGAGCGUGAUGAGUUGACAAGCAGAUGUCGAGAGAUGCAUAGGGUGGGAAGCCCACUACCGGGAGUCUGAUGAUGGAGACCACAACCUGGAUACUGAACAAUGGUUGAUCACUUCCAUGUUUCGCCUGAUGAUGGAGAAGGCACUACAUGGAGCUUGAAGUUGUUUGUACUAGUUAAAUGUUUUAAGGUUUGCAUCUUUGCUGGGCACUCCGUAGCUCUAUUUAGUAGUUUGCAAUCUGGUGAAUUUUCCCCUGGAGUGGGUUGCUCUGUAGUAGUAGAGAAGGGAGUGAGCAUAUGUGUCACUAGCUAGGAGUUGGUGUGUGUAGGGACCUGGGUGUGUAUGCCACAGUUUGAGAAAUGAAAUCAAACUGCUACUUAAUUCAAGAAAACAACAUCUACUGGUAUAUGUUUGUUUCCAAUCAUUGGUAUCUAACUUUCAGUCGCUGACGUCAA